The sequence is a small nucleolar RNA, 154 nucleotides long. It matches the Rfam family "Small nucleolar RNA snR80". The record is from Rfam.
CCACCUUUGCCAACACUCUGGCCUUUGUCAUUAUUCCAGGAUAAUGUGCCUAUUUUGAUGCAAAGAAGAUUGAAACACCCCUGACACUCUACUCACCACGGCAUUCUUGACAACUUUGAUGGUUGCAGUGGUCCAUUCCAUUUUGUGUCUACAG